This 234-nucleotide ribosomal RNA is filed under the name uncultured bacterium. RNAcentral's name for it is "partial 16S ribosomal RNA". It matches the Rfam family "Bacterial small subunit ribosomal RNA", at positions 15 to 244 of the family's 1533-position model. The record is from RNAcentral.
GAUCAUGGCUCAGGACGAACGCUGGCGGCGCGCCUAACACAUGCAAGUCGAACGAGAGAUGAGGAGCUUGCUUCCUCAAUCGAGUGGCGAACGGGUGAGUAACGCGUGAGGAACCUGCCUCAAAGAGGGGGACAACAGUUGGAAACGACUGCUAAUACCGCAUAAGCCCACGGCUCGGCAUCGAGCAGAGGGAAAAGGAGCAAUCCGCUUUGAGAUGGCCUCGCGUCCGAUUAG